UACAGAGGUCUCAAGCGUUGUUCGGAUUCAUUGGGCGUAAAGGGUGCGUAGGUGGCGAGGUAAGUCAGGUGUGAAAUCUCGGAGCUCAACUCCGAAACUGCACUUGAUACUGCCCGCUCGAGUACUGGAGAGGAGAUUGGAAUUUACGGUGUAGCAGUGAAAUGCGUAGAUAUCGUAAGGAAGACCAGUGGCGAAAGGCGAAUCUCUGGACAGUUCCUGAC
RNAcentral lists this ribosomal RNA (221 nucleotides) under uncultured bacterium. RNAcentral's name for it is "partial 16S ribosomal RNA". It matches the Rfam family "Bacterial small subunit ribosomal RNA", at positions 524 to 744 of the family's 1533-position model. The record is from RNAcentral.